Molecule: long non-coding RNA, 254 nt
Filed under: Elaeis guineensis (African oil palm)
Lineage: Eukaryota; Viridiplantae; Streptophyta; Magnoliopsida; Arecales; Arecaceae
Description: long non-coding RNA (EGUI_LNC001642)
Source: RNAcentral
AGUCAGAAUUUGACCAGCUAAGUAUGACACAGUAUCAAAGUUCAACUGACGAUUUUUUCGAUAUUUUAUCGAUUAUCUUGAUCCUAAAAAAAUAGAGAUCGAAAUAGUUAUUCGAUGCAGAUAUUAAUUACCCACGAUCGUGGGACGCAAUAAUCGCCCACUAAUGAUCCGUUACUCAAUUUUAAUAACGAUUAACGAGAUAACUGCCCAAUAAAUACAGUAAUUCUCACGUCCCAAAUUCUAGAGAGUGGAAG